GGGGAUUUAGCUCAGUGGUAGAGCGCUUACCUAGGAAGUGCGAGGCCCUGGGUUCGGUCCCCAGCUCUG
This 69-nucleotide transfer RNA is filed under the name Rattus norvegicus (Norway rat). It matches the Rfam family "tRNA". From Rfam's summary of the family: Transfer RNA (tRNA) molecules are approximately 80 nucleotides in length. Lineage: Eukaryota; Metazoa; Chordata; Mammalia; Rodentia; Muridae. The record is from Rfam by way of RNAcentral.